This is a long non-coding RNA of Camelus dromedarius (Arabian camel), 1407 nucleotides long. RefSeq lists it as uncharacterized. The transcript has 4 exons. NCBI's taxonomy places the organism in Eukaryota, Metazoa, Chordata, Mammalia, Artiodactyla, Camelidae. The record is from RefSeq and is a predicted model, not a curated record.
CCGCCCACCCUGAAGGGUGUCCCGGCUGGUUGGAGGAACAAAGCUCUUCUGUGGAUGCCCACCGCAAGGAGACCCAAGAGUCACUGAAUCUAUUUGAACAUCAAAGGAAGAUUAUGUUUAUUAAAGAGGAAGGCCCUGAAGUUGGUUUUUCUUGGCUCUGGGACUAAAUGGAGCGAACACCUGGUCCAGAUUUGCUUUCAUCCUUCUUCUCUAAGCAACUCAUUCCUGAUGGAAAAUAUGCUGACACCAUGUAGGCCCACACCAAAGAGAAGGAAAUGCUUGCGUUUAUUCUGUCUCUUUGAUUUCAUUUGUGCCUCCUGAAGGUGAGGUCAGCCCAGACAAGCCUCAUCCGGUACUUCAUGGCAUGGAAAACGGUUUGGCCCGGCUGACUGCACGAUGAUCACAGUGCAACAGGACCCUGGCCGCAGCCCGUGAAGCAGGGUGCUGUGUUUCUGAAGACAGUUUGCGUUGCAAAAGAGCAACUCAGAGCUGCACCGAGAUUCAACCUCCAAAACAUGGGGGUGACCAGCCCUGUGUACACCUGCUCUUCAAGGUGGAGUUAUGCUUCUCAUCUGUAACUGACCGACUUGCAUUCUGCCUCAGUCCCACCCGUUCCAACUUUGAGUGAGCUGCUGCAUCCUGAUCCUCUCUGCUGUUUUCAUCCUGCAUUCAUCCAGUGGCGUGCCGGAGUCAGCCUGACUGGCUCAAGAAAGCGAUUGUGCAUAGCUCUUCCCAAUGUCAUGUCAGAUAACAUGACGUUGGUAGCCUGAAAUCAGUCACGGGAGACUGAUUCAGUGGAAAAGAAAGACUUCUGGGCUCACCUAUGAAAGCUACGUCUCGGCUCCAACAGGUUCAACUGUCAACUAAAGUAUCCAAGGCAAAUGGACCCUUCACCGCUUUCUUCACAACAGAAUAUGGGCUCAGAUAUUCUGAACCAAUUACAUUUUUGGCAACACCAUCAAAGCUCAACCUAAAAUUGUCUUGGGAGAGCUGAAAUAAGGGCAAAACCCUGGAGAACUAUUAUGAAAGCACUGACGGUCAAGGGGAUACAUUUUAAUACCCCCAGCAAAGCUUCCUCUUGGGUUAGUUCUGAGCCAAAUGAAUCAUGGCUGUAUUGGAUUUCCAGCUGAAUCGAUUUCCCCAUGUGAGUAUGGCAGUCCUCUGAGAGACAUCAACCAACAGGAAGGAUCCCAUGAAUGAGGGCCAAGGUAGCUCUUCACCCUGCUGGCCAAUGAGGGGCUCCCUAAGGUGAGAGCACAUCCUGAACAAGAUCUGGAAAAAUCUAUAGUCCCUAAUAUUUGGUCAUCUUGUCCCUGACACAAGAUGAGAUUCCAUCUGGCGAAGUCAACCUUGGAAUUUCCAUUUGUGAAAUAUUGGUGAUCACAAAUCUUCACCUCCCUCCUGAAA